AAUCAACGCUGGCGGCGUGCCUCAGACAUGCAAGUCGAACGCGAAAGUCCCCUUCGGGGGUACAAGUAGAGUGGCGCACGGGUGAGUAACACGUAGGUAAUCUACCUUCGGAUGGGGAAUAACAACCGGAAACGGUUGCUAAUACCGCAUAAUGCAGCGGCACCUAAUGGUGACAGUUGUUAAAGCGGGGGAUCGAAAGACCUCGCGUCUGAAGAGGAGCCUGCGGCGGAUUAGCUAGNGGUAAGGUAAUGGCUUACCAAGGCGACGAUCCGUAGCCGGCCUGAGAGGGGCGGUCGGCCACACUGACACUGACAUACGGGUCAGACUCCUACGGGAGCAGC
This 341-nucleotide ribosomal RNA is filed under the name uncultured bacterium. RNAcentral describes it as "bacterial SSU rRNA". It matches the Rfam family "Bacterial small subunit ribosomal RNA", at positions 32 to 352 of the family's 1533-position model. The record is from RNAcentral.